Molecule: unclassified non-coding RNA, 340 nt
Filed under: Hevea brasiliensis (rubber tree)
Lineage: Eukaryota; Viridiplantae; Streptophyta; Magnoliopsida; Malpighiales; Euphorbiaceae
Source: RNAcentral
ACCUAGGUGAAAAUCCAAUCAGAGAAACACACAUGAAUAUCCAAAGUUAAUAUGGCAAAGAUCCAAAUCAAGAUUCAGAUUGGCACGGAAUUGAAUCUCAGAAUUCCUUUUUCCUUGGCUAUUCCAAUGACCAAUAAAAGCAAAAACAAACCCAUCUAACAAAAUUUAAAGACCCAUAAUCUGAAAUGAAAUUUUGCAUUACCUUGAACUCUAGUGCUAAAACAUUUUCUAUUUGCUUUCAAACUUUUGGUUAGCCAAAGUUUUAAAUCAUUUUUUGUCAAAAUUUCUACAAUUUUGCAGCAGCAGGGAGGCGUAGUACCAGCUGAAAAUGAGUUUGACU